RNAcentral lists this unclassified non-coding RNA (178 nucleotides) under uncultured fungus. RNAcentral's name for it is "sequence contains ITS1, 5.8S rRNA gene". Lineage: Eukaryota; Fungi. The record is from RNAcentral.
AUAUUUUGAAUUAAGUAUAUUCGUAAUAUUUUUCAGACAAAGAGUUAAAGAGUUGGUUGAUGUUUGGUCGUUCCCAUAGAAGAGAACGACUGACAUUGCACACAAGGUGGAUAUGGAUUUAAAAAGUGCCAUAAAACACUUAUUAUGAAUGAUCCUUCCGCAGGUUCACCUACGGAAA